Molecule: ribosomal RNA, 292 nt
Filed under: uncultured bacterium
Lineage: Bacteria
Description: partial 16S ribosomal RNA
Rfam family: Bacterial small subunit ribosomal RNA
Source: RNAcentral
GUGUCAGCAGCCGCGGUAAGACGUAGGGAGCGAGCGUUGUCCGGAUUCAUUGGGCGUAAAGAGCGCGCAGGCGGUUUGGUAAGUCGGAUGUGAAAUCCCGGAGCUCAACUCCGGACCUGCAUCCGAAACUGCCCGACUAGAGGUAGGUAGGGGAGAUCGGAAUUCCUGGUGUAGCGGUGAAAUGCGCAGAUAUCAGGAGGAACACCGGUGGCGAAGGCGGAUCUCUGGGCCUUACCUGACGCUCAGGCGCGAAAGCUAGGGGAGCGAACAGGAUUAGAUACCCCAGUAGUCC